ACUGCUGGUGGGAAUGUAAACUUGUACAACCAUUCUGGAAAGCAAUCUGGUGUUUCCUCAGACAACUAGGAAUAGCACUUCCUCAAGAUCCAGCUAUAUCACU
This 103-nucleotide non-coding RNA is filed under the name Brugia malayi. Lineage: Eukaryota; Metazoa; Nematoda; Chromadorea; Rhabditida; Onchocercidae. The record is from RNAcentral.